RNAcentral lists this ribosomal RNA (261 nucleotides) under uncultured bacterium. Its description in RNAcentral is "partial 16S ribosomal RNA". It matches the Rfam family "Bacterial small subunit ribosomal RNA", at positions 336 to 614 of the family's 1533-position model. The record is from RNAcentral.
UUCCUACGGGACGCAGCAGUCGGAAAUAUUGCGCAAUGGAGGAAACUCUGACGCAGUGACGCCGCGUAUAGGAAGAAGGUUUUCGGAUUGUAAACUAUUGUCGUGAGGGAAGAAAUUGACAGUACCUCAGGAGGAAGCUCCGGAUAACUAUGUGCCAGCAGCCGCGGGAAUACAUAGGGAGCAAGCGUUAUCCGGAUUUAUUGGGUGUAAAGGGUGCGUAGACGGGAGAUUAAGUUAGUUGUGAAAUCCAUCGGUUUAACU